RNAcentral lists this ribosomal RNA (466 nucleotides) under uncultured bacterium. RNAcentral's name for it is "partial 16S ribosomal RNA". It matches the Rfam family "Bacterial small subunit ribosomal RNA", at positions 28 to 507 of the family's 1533-position model. The record is from RNAcentral.
GACGAACGCUGGCGGCGUGCUUAACACAUGCAAGUCGAACGGUAAGGCUCCAGCUUGCUGGGGUACACGAGUGGCGAACGGGUGAGUAACACGUGGGUGACCUGCCCUGCACUUCGGGAUAAGCCUGGGAAACUGGGUCUAAUACCGGAUAGGACCAUGGUCUGGAUACUGUGGUGGAAAGUUUUUUCGGUGUGGGAUGGGCCCGCGGCCUAUCAGCUUGUUGGUGGGGUAAUGGCCUACCAAGGCGGCGACGGGUAGCCGGCCUGAGAGGGUGGGCGGCCACAUUGGGACUGAGACACGGCCCAGACUCCUACGGGAGGCAGCAGUGGGGAAUAUUGCACAAUGGGCGGAAGCCUGAUGCAGCGACGCCGCGUGGGGGAUGACGGCCUUCGGGUUGUAAACUCCUUUCACCAUCGACGAAGGGUUUCUGACGGUAGAUGGAGAAGAAGCACCGGCUAACUACGUG